Molecule: long non-coding RNA, 1216 nt
Organism: Girardinichthys multiradiatus
Lineage: Eukaryota; Metazoa; Chordata; Actinopteri; Cyprinodontiformes; Goodeidae
Exons: 3
Source: RefSeq, a predicted model, not a curated record
UCGGCGUAAACCACCCCUCUCAGUCGGAUUACAAUUUCCUUCCGAUCCUGCCGAAUCCGAUCAGAAUAUUCCGACUGACAGGUUUACAUGACCCAUUUUCAGUCCGAUCGGCCGUUUAUUCCGACUAAAGUCCAUGUAAACGUAGCUACUGAGAUAUGCCUUUACUUUAGGGAGGGAGUUCUUGCAGGAUUUCUUUGGGCUGAAGUUCUACAUAUCCUCUGAGACGGUUCUUUAAAACAUCAGAGACAGAUCCAGUUAAAGAAGGAUUCAUGUGAGCGAAGAGUGCCAGAAAAAUGCCAGGAACUGGACCCAAAGGUGAUCAAAAGCAAAACAGAGGAAAUCUGUGAGGAGCAAAUACCUUCUUAGGUAGAAGAUGCUAUGAUUUGUGGAGAGAUGAAGCAUCAUGGUAAAGAUUAGAUGGAUUUAGAUAAGAGGGGAGUUAGAAGAAUGCGAUUUCUAAACCAGAAAUCAUCCAUGUCUGGUUUGGAAAAUCAGCAACAGGAGAAGGUGGAUGUUCUGCAGUAGUGCCUCCUACUGGGAGCAUCUAAAAGAGGCAAAAAUAACUGGAUGACACUGGCAGGUUUUUCUUGGUUAUGAUCAGACUGACAGCUGAAGAAGACGGUGAGCAACAGGUUCUCCAGAGCUCUCCGGUGCUUCUCUGCAGAUCUCCUGAUUGUUUCAUGUUUGUCAGCACAUGGGGGAGACGCCUACACAGACUAUGUAACUCCUCCUUUAUUCAAAACACAGACUGAGCUCUGAUGCAUUGAUAGUUUCAGGCAACAGAACAACAUUUCUGAACGUACAGACAUUCUUUAACAAGAGGUGCCCUCAGUCAAAAUGUUGUUCCCCUUUACUGAUAUUAAUGAGGCUUUUUCUAUUUGUUUAAGAUUUUGAUAAUAAUGAUAACUAGAUUACUGCAAACAUGACAUAAUCUCCUGGAGCAUUCAUGCACCUUCAACUUUUCCACAUUUUGUCACCUUAAUUUACGUAAAUGGAAUUUAACGUGACAGAGCAACACAAAGUUGGCUGCAUUGGUAUUCAACCCCCUUCACUAUGAUGCCCUAAAAACAUCCAAUUAUCGAGUCCAGCUGUGUAGUCUAACUGUAGAUCUUCUGUUUCUGGCCUCAGAGGUUCUUCAGAGAACAUUAAAGAACAACCAGCAUCAUUAAGACCAAAAAACAAAGCAGACAGGUCAGGGAGAAGGUUCUGGUUCAGU